RNAcentral lists this ribosomal RNA (872 nucleotides) under Fomitiporella sp. Cui 11352. RNAcentral describes it as "eukaryotic LSU rRNA". It matches the Rfam family "Eukaryotic large subunit ribosomal RNA", at positions 66 to 915 of the family's 3401-position model. The record is from RNAcentral. Lineage: Eukaryota; Fungi; Basidiomycota; Agaricomycetes; Hymenochaetales; Hymenochaetaceae.
UAACAAGGAUUCCCCUAGUAACUGCGAGUGAAGCGGGAAAAGCUCAAAUUUAAAAUCUGACGGUCUCUGAUCGUCCGAGUUGUAACCUGAAGGAGCGUUUUCAGUGCCGAACCGUGUACAAGUCUCCUGGAACGGAGCGUCAUAGAGGGUGAGAAUCCCGUCCAUGACACGGACGCCCGGUGCUUUGUGAUACGCUCCCGAAGAGUCGCGUUGUUUGGGAAUGCAGCGCAAAAUGGGUGGUAAAUUCCAUCUAAAGCUAAAUAUUGGCGAGAGACCGAUAGCGAACAAGUACCGUGAGGGAAAGAUGAAAAGCACUUUGGAAAGAGAGUUAAACAGUACGUGAAAUUGUUGAAAGGGAAACGCUUGAAGUCAGUCGCGUCUUGUGAAACUCAGCCUUGCUUCGGCCUGGUGUACUUUUCACUAAGACGGGUCAACAUCAAUUUCGACCGGUGGACAAAGGCGAGGGGAAUGUAGCGUCGUUUCGACGACGUGUUAUAGCCCCUUGUCAGAUACACCGACCGGGAUUGAGGACCGCAGCGCGCCCUUGUGGCCGAGGGUUCGCCCUACGUACCGCGCUUAGGAUGUUGGCAUAAUGGCUUUAAGCGACCCGUCUUGAAACACGGACCAAGGAGUCUAACAUGCUUGCGAGUGUUCGGGUGGAAAACCCUUGCGCGUAAUGAAAGUGAAAGUUGGGAGCCUCCGCAAGGGGGUGCACCGACGCCCGGCCCAGACGUUCUCUGACGGUGCUGCGGUAGAGCAAGUGUGUUGGGACCCGAAAGAUGGUGAACUAUGCCUGAAUAGGGCGAAGCCAGAGGAAACUCUGGUGGAGGCUCGUAGCGAUUCUGACGUGCAAAUCGAUCGUCAAAUUUGGG